UACGGAGGGUGCUAGCGUUAUCCGGAUUCACUGGGCUUAAAGGGUUCGUAGGCGGUCUGUUAAGUCAGCGGUGAAAGCCUGGAGCUCAACUCCAGAAUUGCCAUUGAUACUGACGGACUUGAAUCAAGUUGAGGUGGAUGGAAUAUUACAUGUAGCGGUGAAAUGCUUAGAUAUGUAAUAGAACACCGAUUGCGAAGGCAGUACACUAAGCUUGCAUUGACACUGAGGCACGAAAGCGAGGGGAUCAAACAGG
This 253-nucleotide ribosomal RNA is filed under the name uncultured bacterium. Its description in RNAcentral is "partial 16S ribosomal RNA". It matches the Rfam family "Bacterial small subunit ribosomal RNA", at positions 524 to 776 of the family's 1533-position model. The record is from RNAcentral.